RNAcentral lists this ribosomal RNA (173 nucleotides) under Sphaenorhynchus carneus. RNAcentral's name for it is "partial 16S ribosomal RNA". The record is from RNAcentral. Lineage: Eukaryota; Metazoa; Chordata; Amphibia; Anura; Hylidae.
ACGUGAUCUGAGUUCAGACCGGAGUAAUCCAGGUCAGUUUCUAUCUAUAAAGAGAAUUUUCUAGUACGAAAGGACCGAAAAAGCAUGGCCAAUAUUUUAUACACGCCAUAAUUAAUAAUUUAUGAUUUAACUCAAUAAAUAAUUAUUCUAAUAUUAAGCCCAAUUUAAGAGCA